AGAGUUUGAUCCUGGCUCAGGAUGAACGCUAGCGGCGUGCCUAAUGCAUGCAAGUCGAACGGGAAGCCUUGGAUUCGUCUGAGGUGGAGAGUGGCGAACGGGUGAGUAACGCGUAGGUGACCUGCCCCAGAGAGGGGGAUAACUAUUGGAAACGAUAGCUAAUACCCCGGAUGUCAACGCUUUUAGAAAGCAUUGACUAAAGCUCCGGCGCUCUGGGAGGGGCCUGCGUCCCAUCAGCUAGUUGGUGAGGUAAUGGCUCACCAAGGCAAAGACGGGUAGGGGGCGUGAGAGCGUGGCCCCCCACACUGGUACUGACACACGGACCAGAUACCUACGGGUAGCAGCAGCAAGGAAUAUUGCGCAAUGGACGAAAGUCUGACGCAGCAACGCCGCGUGGAGGAAGAAGGCCUUCGGGUUGUAAACUCCUUUUCUGGGGGAAGAGAAAGGACGGUACCCCAGGAAUAAGGCCCGGCUAACUACGUGCCAGCAGCCGCGGUAAAACGUAGGGGUCAAGCGUUAUCCGGAUUUACUGGGCGUAAAGCGCGUGUAGGCGGCUGCUUAAGUCGGACGUGAAAGCUCCUGGCUCAACUAGGAGAGGCCGUUCGAAACUAGGUAGCUUGAGGAUGGUAGAGGAGAGUGGAUUUCCCGGUGUA
This 653-nucleotide ribosomal RNA is filed under the name uncultured bacterium. Its description in RNAcentral is "bacterial SSU rRNA". It matches the Rfam family "Bacterial small subunit ribosomal RNA", at positions 8 to 677 of the family's 1533-position model. The record is from RNAcentral.